GGAAUAUUGGACAAUGGGGGAAACCCUGAUCCAGCCAUGCCGCGUGUGUGGAGAAGGCUCUAGGGUUGUAAAGCACUUUCAGUAGGGAGGAAAAGUUGAUGCUUAAUACGCAUCAACCCUGACGUUACCUACAGAAGAAGCACCGGCAAACUCCGUGCCAGCAGCCGCGGUAAUACGGAGGGUGCGAGCGUUAAUCGGAAUUACUGGGCGUAAAGCGAGCGUAGGCGGCUAGAUUAGUUGGGUGUGAAAGCCCCGGGCUUAACCUGGGAACUGCAUUCAGAACUGUCUGGCUAGAGUAUGGUAGAGGGUAGUGGAAUUUCCUGUGUAGCGGUGAAAUGCGUAGAUAUAGGAAGGAACACCAGUGGCGAAGGCGGCUACCUGGACCAAUACUGACGCUGAGGUUCGAAAGCGUGGGGAGCAAAC
This 423-nucleotide ribosomal RNA is filed under the name uncultured bacterium. Its description in RNAcentral is "bacterial SSU rRNA". It matches the Rfam family "Bacterial small subunit ribosomal RNA", at positions 358 to 773 of the family's 1533-position model. The record is from RNAcentral.